AUGUAUGUCAGAAACUUGGCAAGGAAGCUCCACAGAAACCAUACACCAACCUUGCUGUUCAAACUUGACAUCAAGAAGGCUUUCAACUCAGUGAGAUGGGACUUCCUUAUGGACCUGUUGAGACACCUCGGGUUCCCGGCCAGAUUUCGAGAUUGGAUUUCAGCACUCCUCUCCACGGCCACCUUGAGAGUUUUGAUCAAUGGGGUGGUGGGUGACCCGAUGAAGCACGGUUGUGGUCUUCGGCAGGGAGAUCCACUAUCCCCGCCCCUCUUUGUCCUGGCUAUCGACCCCCUACACCACCUUCUCAACAAGGCCACCACACAGGGGGAUCUCCACCCUAUAGGUGGAAGAGCGCCGACCAUCAGGACGUCUUUAUAG
RNAcentral lists this ribosomal RNA (378 nucleotides) under Triticum aestivum (bread wheat). RNAcentral's name for it is "partial small subunit ribosomal RNA". The record is from RNAcentral. Lineage: Eukaryota; Viridiplantae; Streptophyta; Magnoliopsida; Poales; Poaceae.